GAUUAUUCUACAACAGAACGCCUGUCCAUAUCAACAUAACAAACAAUACAUAAACGUCAGAUAAAUCAUGCACAAAACUGAUUCCGUGUGGAUUAAAAGAAGAUAUUAUGUCUGUGCAACCAUUUAUGAAUAUCAAUUAACCAUUUUACUCGUAUUAAAUAUACAAAAGAGCUGCUGAGCAGAUCACCAUAACACAAUUACUUGUAACAUCAUAAAUCCAGAUCCACUCAAAACAAUAUUACUUCACAUCACAAAAAGCAAUUAAAAAAAAGUUUGAAUUAUCAUAUCCAAUCACACGGCUUAAUUUUGUUAAGUUUGUAUCUUAGAUUUCUAUAACCAAGAAUAUAAACAUGAAAAGAACUUUUAAAUUCGCUUUGAUUUCUUUCUUCUCUCAAAUUCUUCUCCACUUUUAAUCAAAGAUAUAUUUGACCACAGAUCUAACCUCAAACCUUCCUAAAAACUAAGAAGAAAAAGAACAAAACUUUUCUAUGUCACACUCACAAAGCCAGUCAAAUCUACCAAUCCAAACCAAAUCAAGCUACUAAAACACGAGAAAUUUUCAAAACCCAACCUCUUUUUUUUUCUUUUCCCCUUUAGUUGAAC
This 603-nucleotide unclassified non-coding RNA is filed under the name Hevea brasiliensis (rubber tree). The record is from RNAcentral. Lineage: Eukaryota; Viridiplantae; Streptophyta; Magnoliopsida; Malpighiales; Euphorbiaceae.